CGGUGCCGGUACUGGCUGCGCACGCGCGCCGCCUCAUUUCCGGUGCUCUCUUUCGCUGGGUCGCUCGGGUCGGCUUCGGUCGCCGUCGCUCCCGCUCUCCCACCUUCGCCAACCGUCGCUCGGGCCUCUGCCGCUGCCGCGUCGCUUCCUCGAUCCCUCGAUCGCAUAUUCUCCACAAUGCAGCGCCGGGACGACCCCGCCGCGCGCAUGAGUCGGUCCUCAGGCCGCAGCGGCUCCAUGGACCCCUCAGGUGCCCACCCCUCGGUGCGUCAGGCGCCGUCUCGGCAGCCGCCGCUGCCUCACCGGUCCCGGGGAGGCGGAGGGGGGUCCCGGGGGGGCGCCCGGGCCUCGCCCGCCACGCAGCCGCCGCCGCUGCUGCCGCCCUCGGCCACGGGUCCCGACGCGACUGUGGGCGGUCCAGCGCCGACCCCGCUGCUGCCCCCCUCAGCCACUGCCUCGGUCAAGAUGGAGCCGGAGAACAAGUACCUGCCCGAACUCAUGGCCGAGAAGGACUCGCUCGACCCGUCCUUCACUCACGCCAUGCAGUUGCUGACGGCAGAAAUUGAGAAGAUUCAGAAAGGGGAUUCAAAAAAGGACGAUGAGGAGAAUUACUUGGAUUUAUUUUCUCACAAGAACAUGAAGCUGAAGGAGAGGGUUCUGAUACCUGUCAAGCAGUAUCCCAAGUUCAAUUUUGUGGGGAAGAUCCUUGGACCACAAGGGAAUACAAUCAAAAGACUGCAAGAAGAGACUGGUGCAAAGAUUUCUGUGUUGGGAAAGGGCUCAAUGAGAGACAAGGCCAAGGAGGAAGAGCUGCGCAAAGGUGGAGACCCCAAAUAUGCCCACUUGAAUAUGGAUCUGCAUGUCUUCAUUGAAGUUUUUGGACCCCCAUGUGAGGCUUAUGCUCUUAUGGCCCAUGCUAUGGAGGAAGUCAAGAAGUUUCUAGUACCAGAUAUGAUGGAUGAUAUCUGCCAGGAGCAGUUCCUAGAGCUCUCCUACUUGAAUGGAGUACCAGAGCCCUCUCGCGGACGUGGGGUGCCGGUGAGAGGCCGGGGAGCUGCACCUCCUCCUCCACCUGUUCCCAGGGGCCGAGGUGUUGGACCACCUCGGGGGGCUUUAGUGCGUGGUACACCAGUGAGAGGAGCCAUCACCAGAGGUGCCACUGUGACUCGAGGAGUGCCACCCCCACCUACUGUGAGGGGUGCUCCAGCACCAAGAGCACGGACAGCAGGCAUCCAGAGAAUACCUUUGCCUCCACCACCUGCACCAGAAACUUAUGAAGAAUAUGGAUAUGAUGAUACAUAUGCAGAACAGAGUUAUGAAGGCUACGAAGGCUAUUACAGCCAAAGCCAAGGGGACUCAGAAUAUUAUGACUAUGGACAUGGGGAGGUUCAAGAUUCUUAUGAAGCAUAUGGCCAAGAUGACUGGAAUGGGACCAGGCCGUCGCUGAAGGCCCCUCCAGCUAGGCCGGUGAAGGGAGCAUACAGAGAGCACCCAUAUGGACGUUAUUAAAAACAAACAUGAGGGGAAAAUAUCAGUUAUGAGCAAAGUUGUUACUGAUUUCUUGUAUCUCCCAGGAUUCCUGUUGCUUUACCCACAACAGACAAGUGAUUGAAAACUCCUGAGGCAUUUCUUGGAGUAGAAUGGGUAGUGAAGACCCAUGUCAGCAUCAGAGGACUCCCGGAAACCAGGAGAGCCGCCUGCUGUGUCAAGGCUGGCCUGAGGGCAUUUGCUGAGCACAGAGAGACCCAGGAGAGGAGAUCAACAGUCUUUUCCCACCCACCUCUUGAUCUGUCUGAUUUACCCACAGAAAGCCACCCAGAAUCCUCUAAGAGUCCCUAGGCCCAGAAUGGAGUCCUUAGGGCUACAGGGGGCUGUGAUGCUAACAGUUAAACCUGCUUAGGACUUUAAAGAAUUGAAAGGGACUAACAGUAUCCUCAGCAUGGCCUCCUAGACGUGAAUAAACUGGCAGCUCUUACCGUGUCAUUCCCAGUUUGCCUGCUUCCCCUUAGUCUCCAGCAGCACUGGCUGGAACACCCUACCACCACCUAUUUCCCACCCUACCACACGUGUGUUGUGGAUGCCAGCCUUGAACACUUGCAGAGGGCUCCCAGAGAGUGGCUGGUCACCAACUCUGUAACAGGCUGAGGAAAGUCAAGUUAGAAGGUUCGGGUACUUUAGGCAAGUUAUUUAACCUCGGAGCCUGUUUUUCUCUUCAUUUUUGAUUACUAACGUCCAAAGAUCUCCUGAAGGAUAGGGUAGGGCUUUUCCCACUUCACUCUGGACUAUAUCCCUUCCCCAGCAAACAUCUGGCACUGAGGAGCUCAAUAAAGUUUCAGUCAAGUGAUGAAUAGUCCCACUCCGGUAGCUUUUAUCAGCUUUGGGAGAGAGCCAAAGGAGGUCCCCUAACUCCCACUCUCUAUCCAGCUAUAUUGGGCUAGCCAUUUAUCCUAACAUUUUCUCUUAAAGGAUUGGAAAGUCAGCCUUUCCUAGACUUCUGGUUUCCUGUGGCCAAUGCCAUAGGCUGGUUUUACACUGAGCACCCGGAGAGGUUAGGGACCUCUCUAAUACUACACUCUUCCUUCAAUGCCCUCUGGUUAUUUAUCCCAACAAGGGAACCAGGAGAAGGGCUGAGUUUGGAGAGACCUAUCCAGACUGUGCCUGAGGCAUUCUAAUGAGCUUUGGAUUCUGUUCUUAGCAGUAAAGGGACCUUGAAAUUGGUUGAUUUACUUUGGGCAAGUUGUUUAACCUCUAAGCCCAUUUUUAUCUUCAUUAUUGAUUAAAAUAUAUAAUAGCUAAUAAUUUAUUGAAUGCUUAGUUGUACCAGGCACUAUGUCAAGCAUUUAUAUGUACUAUUUGACUUAAUCCUCCAAUCCACUAUACUCAUUUUACAGAUGCGGAAACAGAGGCUCAAAGAGGAUAAAUAACUUGCCUAAGGUUAAAGAAAGGUGCUAUCAGACUCUAUAGCCCCUGCUUUUGACCUGUUUGUACCUCUUAGAGCCACCAAGUACUUUGAAACAGUAAAGCAUUGUGUUUGAGAGAUUUAUUUAGGGUGACAAACGAUCCAGGUUUUACAUGACUGAGAAGAUUCCUGGGGUAUUGAACUUCAGUCCUAAAACCAGGAAAGUCCCAGGCAAACUGAGAUGAGUUUGUCAGUCUGUUUGCACUGAGACUCAGUCCAGAGUUGGCCAUUGAGGCUUCAUUUUCCCUGACUUCUUAGUCACCUACGCCUCAUCUUGUGGCCAGUUUCUUUAGCAUUUGAGGACCUGCUUCAGUCCAGCAGGCAGGAGAGGAAUUUAGGACAGGGGGCAGUUAGGGAAUCAGAUGGCGUCCUGGUCAUGGAAAAAUGGAGGUGCAGAACCUGGGUCACUAUUUGAGAAGCCAGCGCUAGAUUCUAGGCAGCCUUACCUUCAACCCCCAGAUGCAGGAUACCUACUUGGGAGCCAUGGAAUUACAGGGAAGUCCACAAGGGCCAAAGCCAAACAUCUAGAUUCAAAUCCUAGCUCCUCACUUAUGUGUAUUUUUCUGGGCCUGUUUACUCUGUAAAAGUAGGAUAAUCGUCCCAAUCCACUGAAUGGCAUCUGAGAAGCAACUGAAAUGUGUGUGAAAUACUUCACACAGAGUCUAUCCAAAUACUGCUCAACACUUAGGUGUCCUUCCUCCUCUUUUCCGGCUUGUGUUUCUUACCCAGCCCUGUCACCUGUCGAGUCUUAUCACAUACUCCCUCCUCCCAUUACCACUUGCAGCCCUAGGGAUUUUCCUUUGAGAGCCCUGACCCUAGUGGGCCUGGCCCACCCACCCAGCUGCCCUGCAUGUCAGUCACCUCGCCUGCAAGCGGAGAAGGGAUGACAUCAGCUUUUCCCCCUCCCCCAUCCAAAGCCUCUGGACUGUUUUGAGCCAUAAAUAUUUUAGCUGGGCCUUUCUCUGGCUGUUGCCGGGGUGAUGGACUCUCAGGGGACUGGGGUGGGAGUGUGGAGGCGGGGCUCGGCAGCCUGGGGCCUAGAAGCAGAGCUGGCCCUUGAGGGGCGGGUUUGAAGUCUGGCCAAGAGCCAGUGCUUGCAGCAGCGAUUCUGAAGGCUGUUGCUCUGUCUGCCUGCCUUCCCUUUCCUGGGCCCUGCAGAGCCGUUCUUACUGCUUUCCAGGCCCAGCUUUGCCCUCGAGUACCACUUGAUCUUGGGUUAAUUGCUAAAUACCGCUGGGCCUUGAUUUUAACAUCUGUAACAGAAAAGUCCCUGUUUAAAUCACUGUAAGUGGGAAAGGUAAGUCAAAGGAGGUUUUGUAAAAAUCCGAUGAAACAAGUUUUGUUAGUAAGUCAUGAUUGGAGCAGCUAGGUCCCACAGCCCUUUCUGAUAGACCUGCAUGCUGGGGUCCCAGGGCAAUGUAGAUGCCACUCUAAAGGCUGAUAGAUGUGGCACUGCCUCCCAUUCUCCCCGCCCCCCAUUCCUCAUGCUGUAGCCCCAGCUCCUUUUCUGAAGUUCCCUGGCCUGGCCCACGGUGUUCUAAGGAGUUUGGCCCUUAUGAGUAGAGUUGAUGAAAGCCUUUUUUGAUUAAGAUACAGAAAUUCAGGCCCCCAAACUGGAUCUGUCCCUCACUCUCUUCUACCACACCCCCCCCCCACCUCCAUCCUAGAGCUCUUCAGUCUGAAUAGCUGCUAAACUCUAGCUUGCAGCAGCAUGCCCACUCCUCUCCUUGGGAUGGGUCUAAGAAACAAAAGAGGGCCAGAGAGGGGGCGCCUGGAUCCACUCCCUACCCCUACCAUCGAGAAGCUCUGGAUUGGGUCCAGAAUUCCACAUCCCCUGCCUAGCCCUGCCCACCAGUUUUCCUGUGGAGCUGGGAGCUGGGCUUCCUUUGUGUCGAGCUCCCUCUGGUGGCUUAGCUGUGCAUUGCAUAAAAUAAUACCUCAAGCGAGACUAAAUUGCAGGCCGCCCUGAGAGAUGGGAUUGUUCUAUACCAAGAAGAAUCCUUGACCCCAACUCCUGAUGACAGCCAUUCCAUUUCCUAUAUAGGAUUACUCUGCCAUAUGUUUGCUUCUCUAGGUCAUUAAUCCUCACAACAAUUCAAUGACAUGAGAAUUACCCUAAUUUUACAGAUGAAACAGGAUUAGAGAGGUGAACAAAUCCAAACUCUUCACUGUAUGUAGCCUGUAGUGUUCAGGAUCCUCAAGUGAUAGGAACUUAGCCUGUUUUUCCAGCCCCAUAUUCCAUUCUCCCAAGCCAAAAUGACUUACUCUUCUGGAACAUAGCUUGCCUCUGGACCUUUGCUCAUGCUGUUUUCUCUAUCUUCAUUGCCCCCACCCCCACACAGUACAUUACAUACCAAAAUCCACACAUUUUUGAAAAACUAAAGAAAUGCAGGAUUUUCUCAAGCUUGCAUAUAUUAUCUUUGUAAUAACCAAAUAUUAUAAGACAUGGAUGAGAACAAAUGUCUGGAUGAGAACAGGUGGGUGAGUGUCCCUGAGAUGUGGAAGGUUGGAUGGGGAGACUAACAUGUACGUGGAAGUGAGAAUUGCCCAGGAAAUUAAAAGAACAUGAAGACAUCUGGGUUCUCUGGUAGGUUUUUGUAGUGAAAAUUCGAUGUUGUAAGUAUUCUUGCUGGCAAAAGAGCAAAUCUCUGGGAAGCUGAGGCAGAGAUUCAGGUGACAUUUCUUCAAAAGUCACCGAUCUUAAAUUCACAUUAGUUUUCUUGUUACUUAAUAUAUCCAUGUUUUAAUAACAAUAACAGGUGAUAACAGGUGAUACUUAAAUAGCACUUCCCAGGCACCGGGUAUGUUCUAAGUACUUUACACAGACUAACUUAAUCUUCAUCAUAAUCUCAUAAGAUAGAUACUAAUACUACCCUCACUGUUUUUUUUCAAUUGAGGUAUAGUUGGUUUACAAUAUUAGUUUCAGGUGUACAGCAUAGUGGUUCGAAAUUUUUAUAGACUAUACUCCAUUUAAAGUUAUUAUAACUUUAUAUUGGCUAUAUUCCCCGUUCUGUACAAUAUAUCCUUGUAGCUUAUUUUAUACAUAGUAGUUUGUACCUCUUCAUCCCCUACCCUUAUCUUGCCACUUUCCUCUUCCCUCUCCCCACUGGUAACCACUAGCUUGUUCUCUACACCUGUGAGUUAUACUAUCCUCACUUUACACUGGGGAAACUAAGGCAUAGAGAGGUUAAGUAAUUUCCUAAGGUCGUGCACCUAGUAAGUGGUAAAGCCAGGAUUUGAUUCCAUAUAAGUCUGGCUCAGAGAAGGUGCUGUGGAUAACUACACUUUUAAUAUUGAAAAUAUUGCCUUACAUUGCCAUGAAUAAAACUGACACUCCAGGAAGCAGUAUUGUGUUUUAUCCUGCAGUUUCAGGACCCCCGCUGUGUACCACCAGAGGUCUGCAUAAUCCAGGGUGAAAACUGAUCAGACUUGCCAGCCUUGGCCCCAGAAUAACAGGACCAAGGAAGAGAUCCCAAUUCCUGAUAUCCAAUGACACAUGAUUGGCCUAGAGCCAGUGGCAUUUCCUCAAAAACUCAAGACUCCUGGAAGAGCCAAUAGAGAGCAAGUUAAUCAGGAAAUGAAGACAUACAGGAGGGAAGUGAGGGCUUCGAGGUCACAAAACAGCUGAGAUGUGGGGCCACAGAUCUAGAGGACAAGAACCUAACCAACAUCCUGCCAUCUUAUGAUUAUUUUCCCAGGGAGCCUGUAGGCGGCAGAUGUAAAAGGAUUAAGGCCCUAGACGUUUCUGGUAGAUACUGAGAAGUGUAUAUUGUUCUAGAUUCUUGCAGUAGCAGUUGUCAGACACUAAACACAAACUGGCUUUUUGUUAACAGCAAAGUCCAUAAAGGCUUCAGGUAUAACUAGAUCAAAUGAUGCCAUCAAGAAAGUGUCUCCUGACUUCUUUUAAAUACAUUUAUUUAUUUAUUUUUA
This is an RNA transcript of Orcinus orca (killer whale), 6889 nucleotides long. It is a transcript of the gene named KH RNA binding domain containing, signal transduction associated 1, with no coding region annotated. Lineage: Eukaryota; Metazoa; Chordata; Mammalia; Artiodactyla; Delphinidae. The transcript is spliced from 11 exons. The record is from RefSeq and is a predicted model, not a curated record.